GUGGGAGGCUGGGUGGGACCUUCUCGGAAGCAGGAGAUGCCGUGCUGGCUGACGAAGGAGAGCUGGGCGGGACCAGCCGAGACGAGAGUUAUGCGGAGUCAGCGGAGACGAGGAAGAGCUGGGCGGGACCCAGGGGCGCAAAAAUGGGAUGCAAAUCUGAUUGUCACCUUCGCAUGAUGUAAAAUAGAAUGACUCCAAAGUGAAACCCAGAUGAAGAUAUCAAGAGGCCUGGACAGAUGCUGACCUGCAGAACACCACACUGAGCAGACUUGUGCCACUGUUUUGCAUAAAAUGGAGCAUGAAGAGACAGGCCAUGGACCACAGCUCUAGUUUUUACGCACCCACCCCCACACACAGAUUCAGAUAAGAUUUCUCACUGAUUAAAUGUUCAUAUGAAAGUUUGUUACGUUUUGGUGGUCAAGUUAUAAUUCAUUGUCAUAAAUCUAAAUGAAGAGUUUGGUUCCAAAAUGAGAUAACUACGUUUUCAUUUUUUUUCAAAAAUCAUGUUUUUUAUUGAGCAUUCCAAUUAAUAGAAAUCAAAGUGCAGCUGGUUUGUUUUGAUUUAAGAUAUGAUAACUAAAAAAGUA
This is a long non-coding RNA of Triplophysa rosa, 587 nucleotides long. RefSeq lists it as uncharacterized. The record is from RefSeq and is a predicted model, not a curated record. The transcript has 4 exons. Lineage: Eukaryota; Metazoa; Chordata; Actinopteri; Cypriniformes; Nemacheilidae.